UACGGAGGGGGCUAGCGUUGUUCGGAAUUACUGGGCGUAAAGCGCACGUAGGCGGAUUGCUAAGUCAGGGGUGAAAUCCUGGAGCUCAACUCCAGAACUGCCCUUGAUACUGGCGGUCUCGAGUCCGGGAGAGGUGAGUGGAACUGCGAGUGUAGAGGUGAAAUUCGUAGAUAUUCGCAAGAACACCAGUGGCGAAGGCGGCUCACUGGCCCGGUACUGACGCUGAGGUGCGAAAGCGUGGGGAGCAAACAGG
RNAcentral lists this ribosomal RNA (253 nucleotides) under uncultured bacterium. RNAcentral describes it as "partial 16S ribosomal RNA". It matches the Rfam family "Bacterial small subunit ribosomal RNA", at positions 524 to 776 of the family's 1533-position model. The record is from RNAcentral.